RNAcentral lists this long non-coding RNA (1113 nucleotides) under Medicago truncatula (barrel medic). RNAcentral describes it as "lncRNA gene27368". Lineage: Eukaryota; Viridiplantae; Streptophyta; Magnoliopsida; Fabales; Fabaceae. The record is from RNAcentral.
GGUCAUCAAAAUUAAAAUAAGCAAUUACGUUAUAAACAGAGAAAAACACUCAAACAUGUGACAUGGAUCAUUGUAGUGCAAACAAAAGCCAUUUAUUUAUAAAGGAAAUCAGUUCAACAAUGGCUUAUUUUUAACAGAAAAAGUAGCAGUGAACGACUUCCAUAAGUCAACUAAAUAAAUCAAAGAUUAACGAUGGUGGGCUUAUAAUCAAUUGCAAUCACUUUCUCCAAGUUGGAAAGGAACAAAUUUGCAUACUCAACAUGUGCAGGAUGAGCUACAUACUCUGCAAUGGCUUCCACACUCUCAAAGUUUGAUUCAAAUACAUGAGUAAAACCUUGAUGCAGGUUCUCAGCACUUACAUCUGUCCCCCUGUAAUACAUAAAUAUAUGGACAUUAUAUUGCUAAGCUUUGAAAUGUUUUAAUCAUAGCCACUAAUGAGCAGUUUAGAUUGACUUAUUUGAACUUAUCUACUAGUAGAAGCACUUGCGAGACUGCUUGGGAGAACUUAUGUUUCAUUAGCUGUUUUCAACUUAUUUCUAUAAGCUCUCCAGGAUAGCUUAUCAAAAGUCAAAACGGCUUAUGACUUGUACCAAAACUGUAUUGACUUAAUUUUAUCUUUUCUUAUUAAAAUAGCUUAAAAUUAAACAUAUGCGGUAUAAGCUUAAAAUUAAACUGCAUGUCCAAACAUGACAACAUAUAGUUUUGAUUAUAUUAUAACUAAAAUGCAGAAAUUUGAUAGAUCUUGAUCUUCUAACACUUCAAUUUCACUCAAAAGCUUUGAAAGAAAGAAAAAAAAGUGAAAUAACCCCCAAAUAAUGUUCCACUGAUUCUCCUCCUAAUCUUACUUGGAAAACCCCAAUUAUUGAAUGAAUUUACUAAAAAUUCAAUCUUUUGUGAAAUGGGUCAAUUUUUUGCAGCCUCAGUUUGUAAUUUGAAAAGAAAAGAAAUAAUAGAUAAUUCCAUACCAGUGGAAUGACUUCAUGGGUGGGAUGAGAUUGACGAGAUUUGCAUAACCCUUGAUGAGUUCAUCAAUCUUCUCUUGAGAGAUUUCAUCCUUGAACUUUGCGAUCACUAUGUGCUUCACAGCCAUUUCUCUUUUUUGUUUGCUUUCCA